This 882-nucleotide ribosomal RNA is filed under the name Triticum aestivum (bread wheat). Its description in RNAcentral is "partial small subunit ribosomal RNA". The record is from RNAcentral. Lineage: Eukaryota; Viridiplantae; Streptophyta; Magnoliopsida; Poales; Poaceae.
AUGGGCGCCUACGGCGGCGUCGUGGAGGCGCGCCACCUCACCAACGGCUGGACCGUCGCCGUCAAGAAGCCGCUCCCCUGCGCGCACGAGAGCGCCGGCAUCGCGUGCGGCUGCGCCGACGCCCGUACGCUGCGCGAGGCCGCGUUCCUCGCGGCGUGCCACCGCCACCGCGUCAUCGUCGAGCUCCGGGCGCUCUCGCUCGACCGCUGUGCCGGGAAGCUCUCCGUGGUCAUGGAGUGCGUCGGGCCCAGCCUGCACGAGGUCCUCCAUGAGCACCGCCGCGGCCGGCCCUUCCCCGAGGCCGACGUGCGCUGCAUCAUGAAGCAGCUCCUCGGCGCCGCCAAGCACAUGCACGGGCUCCGCAUCAUCCACCGCGACAUCAAGACAGGGAACAUCCUCGUCGGCGCAGACGGCAUCAGCAGCGUCAAGAUCUGUGACCUAGGGCUCGCGGUGUCCAUGUCAGAACCUGCGCCGUACGGCCAGCACGGCACAGGCAGAUACAUGGCGCCGGAGAUGCUCCUUGGCAAAACCGACUAUGAUGCCACGGUUGACAUGUGGUCCCUCGGCUGCGUCAUGGCCGAGCUCCUCUCCGGGAAGCCACUCUUCGAUGGGGACGACGACGCCCAACAGCUCCUCGCCAUCUUCCGCGUUCUCGGCGUGCCAUUAUUCACGACCUGGCCAGCCUACGAGUCAUUGCCGCUCGCCGGGAAGCUGGUGACGCCGCCGCAUGUCAUUUCCCGCAACAAGCUCCGUCAGCACUUCCCAGAGGACCGCCUCUCCAAAGAAGUUUCGAAGUCCUCAAGGGGCUCCUCUCGUGUAACAUCGACAAGAGGUUGUCGGCCACCACCGCGCUUAGGCGACCAUGGUUCGCCAACGCCGUAG